RNAcentral lists this ribosomal RNA (395 nucleotides) under Acanthamoeba sp. Cerrado FPD-2014. RNAcentral describes it as "SSU rRNA". It matches the Rfam family "Eukaryotic small subunit ribosomal RNA", at positions 795 to 1093 of the family's 1831-position model. Lineage: Eukaryota; Discosea; Longamoebia; Acanthamoebidae. The record is from RNAcentral.
CAAUAACAUGUAGCAUGGGAUAAUGGAAUAGGACCCUGUCCUCCUAUUUUCAGUUGGUUUUGGCAGCGCGAGGACUAGGGUAAUGAUUAAUAGGGAUAGUUGGGGGCAUUAAUAUUUAAUUGUCAGAGGUGAAAUUCUUGGAUUUAUGAAAGAUUAACUUCUGCGAAAGCAUCUGCCAAGGAUGUUUUCAUUAAUCAAGAACGAAAGUUAGGGGAUCGAAGACGAUCAGAUACCGUCGUAGUCUUAACCAUAAACGAUGCCGACCAGCGAUUAGGAGACGUUGAAUACAAAACACCACCAUCGGCGCGGUCGUCCUUGGCGUCUCGCGUUCGCGCGCGGCGCGAGGGCGGCUUACCCCGGUGGCACCGGUGAAUGACUCCCCUAGCAGCUUGUGA